This 758-nucleotide ribosomal RNA is filed under the name uncultured bacterium. RNAcentral describes it as "bacterial SSU rRNA". It matches the Rfam family "Bacterial small subunit ribosomal RNA", at positions 740 to 1498 of the family's 1533-position model. The record is from RNAcentral.
CUGACACUGAGGUGCGAAAGCAUGGGGAGCAAACAGGAUUAGAUACCCGGUAGUCCAUGCCGUAAACGAUGUCUACUAGCCGUUGGGGCCUUUGAGGCUUUAGUGGCGCAGCUAACGCGAUAAGUAGACCGCCUGGGGAGUACGGUCGCAAGACUAAAACUCAAAUGAAUUGACGGGGGCCCGCACAAGCGGUGGAGCAUGUGGUUUAAUUCGAUGCAACGCGAAGAACCUUACCUGGUCUUGACAUAGUAAGAACUUUCCAGAGAUGGAUUGGUGCCUUCGGGAACUUACAUACAGGUGCUGCAUGGCUGCCGUCAGCUCGUGUCGUGAGAUGUUGGGUUAAGUCCCGCAACGAGCGCAACCCUUUUCCUUAUUUGCCAGCGGGUUAAGCCGGGAACUUUAAGGAUACUGCCAGUGACAAACUGGAGGAAGGCGGGGACGACGUCAAGUCAUCACGGCCCUUACGACCAGGGCUACACACGUGCUACAAUGGUCGGUACAAAGGGUUGCUACCUCGCGAGAGGAUGCUAAUCUCAAAAAGCCGAUCGUAGUCCGGAUUGGAGUCUGCAACUCGACUCCAUGAAGUCGGAAUCGCUAGUAAUCGCGGAUCAGAAUGCCGCGGUGAAUACGUUCCCGGGCCUUGUACACACCGCCCGUCACACCAUGGGAGUUUGUUGCACCAGAAGUAGGUAGUCUAACCGCAAGGAGGACGCUUACCACGGUGUGGCAGAUGACUGGGGUGAAGUCGUAACAAGGUA